GGGGUUGUGGCUCAGCGGUAGAGCGCUUGCCUAGCACGCAGGAGGCCCUGGGUUCGAUCCUCAGCACCACA
This 71-nucleotide transfer RNA is filed under the name Marmota monax (woodchuck). RNAcentral's name for it is "tRNA.Ala". It matches the Rfam family "tRNA". From Rfam's summary of the family: Transfer RNA (tRNA) molecules are approximately 80 nucleotides in length. Their secondary structure includes four short double-helical elements and three loops (D, anti-codon, and T loops). Further hydrogen bonds mediate the characteristic L-shaped molecular structure. tRNAs have two regions of fundamental functional importance: the anti-codon, which is responsible for specific mRNA codon recognition, and the 3' end, to which the tRNAs corresponding amino acid is attached (by aminoacyl-tRNA synthetases). tRNAs cope with the degeneracy of the genetic code in two manners: having more than one tRNA (with a specific anti-codon) for a particular amino acid; and 'wobble' base-pairing, i.e. permitting non-standard base-pairing at the 3rd anti-codon position. Lineage: Eukaryota; Metazoa; Chordata; Mammalia; Rodentia; Sciuridae. The record is from RNAcentral.